Non-coding RNA from Oryctolagus cuniculus (rabbit), 478 nucleotides. The record is from RefSeq and is a predicted model, not a curated record. Lineage: Eukaryota; Metazoa; Chordata; Mammalia; Lagomorpha; Leporidae.
UGCAUGCCCUUCUUGGUCCUUGCCAUGCAGUGUUCCAAAGGCUCCUCCGGAGCACUGCUCCCUGCAACACAGCCCAGUCACAGCUCCCAAGCCAUCGGCCCUCCACACAGGAGCCCUGGGCAGGUGCACAGUGCCGCAGCUCUGCUGUGCAGUGAUGGCUAUGACCCUCAGGGCCGUCACACAGACCCCUCCUUAAAGCCAUCUGCCCCCCACACAAGAGCCCUGGGCAGGUGCACAGCGCCGCAGCUCUGCUGUGCAGUGAUGGCUAUGAUGCUCAGGGCCGUCACACAGACCCCUCCUUAAAGCCAUCGGCCCCCCACACAGGAGCCCUGGGCAGGUGCACAGCGCCACAGCUCUGCUGUGCGGUGAUGGCUAUGACGCUCAGGGCCGUCACACAGACCCCUCCUUAAAGCCAUCGGCCCCCCACACAGGAGCCCUGGGCAGGUGCACAGUGCCACAGCUCUGCUGUACGGUGAUG